GUUCACUCACGCAAUUUGGCUAAAUUUUCCAUAGUCUUUAUUUUAUUUUGAGAAACGAUGUGGUAUAUUGAUGUGUGGUGUUUUACUUGAAUGGACAUAAACACAAUCUAAGGAUGCCAUGAAUAGACGGGAUUAUAGUUAACAUAUUAUCACAAAAGGUCAUUAGCUAGCCCACUAAUGUCUUCAUCCACUACUUGUACUCUAAUACCCUCUCGUGCGAAUACAAUGCCCUCAAUAUCAUAGAAACACUAUUUUUGUGUGGUGUUUUACUUGAGUGGACAUAAACACCAUCUAAGGAUGCCAUGAAUAGACGGGAUUAUAGUUAACAUAUUAUCAUAAAAGGUCAUUAGCUAGCCCACUAAUGUCUUCAUCCACUAGUUAUACUCUAAUACCCUCUAGUGUGAAUACAAUGCCCACAAUAUCAUAGAAACGCCAUUUGAGGUUUAAAAGGUGAUCUAUUGUUUUGAAUUCUUUAUAUUCCAACUUUUUAGCAACUGUAUGGUGGAAAAAGGUGUCUUACAACCUUAACCUAUGUUUGGACAGUUCUCUCGUGCAAUUUGGCUAAAUUUCCCAUGGUCUUUAUUUUAUUUUGAGAAACGAUGUGGUAUAAUGAUGUGCGAUGUUUUACUUGAGUGGACAUAAACACCAUUUAGGUAUGCCUUGAAUAGAGGGGAUUAUUGGAAACCUGGUAUCACAAAAGGUCAUUAGCUUGCCCAAUAACGUCUUCAUCCACUAGUUAUAUGUUGGGGACUUGUUCUCAAAUGCUAUGAGUUAAGAACAAGGCAACACAGAGAAUGUUAAACGAUAAAGUCCUUCGUCUUUUGAAGCAUUAUUUCCCUUAGGAUAUAACGAUCUUCGGACGAAGGUCAUGAAGGAUGAACCUUCAUCAUCACAAUAUACGAUAAUGAAAGACGAAGCAUAUAAAACAUAAAAGAUAACAUGAAUAAUCAUAUAACAUCAUUCAUUUAACUUUAUUAUAUCAUCAUAGAGAAAUAAAGACAAUAUCGAAUUAUAAAUGUACCUUCGGCUUGGAAGGAGAUGAAAAUACAAGUGUGACGCAGGAGCGAAUGCCAAGUCAACGUGAACAGUACGGGGGUACUGUUCACCUAUUUAUAGGCACGGGGUACAACCCAUACAAAAUUACAUACAUGCCCUUUACAUUUGGUGAUAAUUCUAUAGCACUCUAUCGAGGUCUAAAUGGCCUUUUCAUCUUUAAGUCGGUUCCCUUUUCUGCGAACAUGCCGAAACUUUCCUGCUUCACAGCUUCGGCGCUGUGUCAACCUUUGUAGCUUUUACCUUUCUGAUACGAGUCCGAAGAUACCUGCUCACACAUUUUAAGCCGCUUCUCCCUUGAAGACCUUCGGCGCCGAAGCAUAGACCCAACAACUCUAAUACCCUCUAGUGUGAAUACAAUGCCCACAAUAUCAUAGAAACGUCAUUUGAGGUUUAAAAGGUGAUCUAUUGUUUUGAAUUCUUUAUAUUCCAACUUUUUAGCAACUAUAUGGUGGAAAAAAGUUGUCUUACAACCUUAACCUAUGUUUGGACAGUUCACUCACGCAAUUUGGCUAAAUUUUCCAUAGUCUUUAUUUUAUUUUGAGAAAUGAUGUGUCAUAUUGAUGUGUGGUGUUUUACUUGAGUGGACAUAAACACAAUCUAGGUAUCCCUUGAAUAGAGGGGAUUAUUGGAAACCAGGUAUCACAAAAGGUCAUUAGCUAGCCCAAUAACGUCUUCAUCCACUAGUUGUACUAUAAUACCCUCUAGUGUGAAUACAAUGCCCUCAAUAUCAUAGAAACACUAUUUUUAGUUUCAAAGGCAUACCUAAAUUGAUGUGUGGUGUUUUACUUGAGUGGACAUAAACACCAUCUAAGGAUGCCAUGAAUAGACGUGAUUAUUGGAUAGUGUUUCUAUGAUAUUGAGGGCAUUGUAUUCGCACGAGAAGGUAUUAGAGUACAACUAGUGGAUGAAGACAUUAGUGGGCUAGCUAAUGACCUUUUGUGAUAAUAUGUUAACUAUAAUCCCGUCUAUUCAUGGCAUCCUUAGAUUGUGUUUAUGUCCACUCAAGUAAAACACCACACAAAAAUAGUGUUUCUAUGAUAUUGAGGGCAUUGUAUUCGCACGAGAGGGUAUUAGAGUACAACUAGUGGAUGAAGACAUUAGUGGGCUAGCUAAUGACCUUUUGUGAUAAUAUGUUAACUAUAAUCCCGUCUAUUCAUGGCAUCCUUAGAUUGUGUUUAUGUCCACUCAAGUAAAACACCACUAGCUGUACUCUCAAGUAAGGAUGCCAUGAAUAGACGGGUAUACCACAUGCCUUAAAUAGAGGGUAGUAUAGGAAACCUGGUAUCACAAAAGGUCAUUAGCUAGCCCGAUAACGUCUUCAUCCACUAGUUGUACUCUAAUACCCUCUCGUGCGAAUACAAUGCCCUCAAUAUCAUAGAAACACUAUUUUUGUGUGGUGUUUUACUUGAGUGGACAUAAACACAAUCUAAGGAUGCCAUGAAUAGACGGGAUUAUUGGAUAGUGUUUCUAUGAUAUUGAGGGCAUUGUAUUCGCACGAGAGGGUAUUAGAGUACAACUAGUGGAUGAACACAUUAGUGGGCUAGCUAAUGACCUUUUGUGAUAAUAUGUUAAAAGUGAGUGAACUGUCCAAACAUAGGUUAAGGUUGUAAGGCACCUUUUUCCACCAUACAGUUGAUAAAAAGUUGGAAUAUAAAGAAUUCAAAACAAUAGAAAAUCAUCGUUCUGUUAUAAAAAAUGGAUACAACCAAUUCCUGACCUCGCGCGAGUGCUAGAAAAAUCACUCGACUUCUACCGAGAUCCUGAUUUAGCAUAGCAGCUACUCGACCUAGCAUACUAGUAUCCAUCUCUAAAGGAAUCCUAAGUUCAUGCAAUUAGGGUUUCAAGCAACUCUUACACUUAAGUGCACGGUACAAGCCUACAAACAUUAAGUGUAGUAAAAUAGCAUAUAUAAACGGUUAUGCAUAAAACCGGGGCUUGCUAGGAAUUCAACACUGGCAUAAAUUUUCCAUAGUCUUUAUUUUAUUUUGAGAAACGAUGUGGUAUAUUGAUGUGUGGUGUACUCUAAUAACUAUCCGUCUAUACCACAUUGUUUCUCAAAAUAAAAUAAAGACCAUGGGAAAUUUAGCCAAAUUGCACGAGAGAACUGUCCAAACAUAGAUUAAGGUUGUAAGACACCUUUUUCCACCAUACAAUUGCUAAAAAGUUGGAAUAUAAAGAAUUCAAAACAAUAUAUCACCUUUUAAACCUCAAAUGACGUUUCUAUGAUAUUGUGGGCAUUGUAUUCACACUAGAGGGUAUUAGAGUACAACUAGUGGAUGAAGACGUUAUUGGGCUAGCUAAUGACCUUUUGUGAUAUCAGGUUUCCAAUAAUCCCGUCUAUUCAUGGCAUCCUUAGAUGGUGUUUAUGUCCACUCAAGUAAAACACCACACAAAAAUAGUGUUUCUAUGAUAUUGAGGGCAUUGUAUUCGCACGAGAGGGUAUUAGAGUAAAAUUAGUGGAUGAAGACAUUAGUGGGCUAGCUAAUGACCUUUUGUGAUAAUAUGUUAACUAUAAUCCCGUCUAUUCAUGGCAUCCUUAGAUUGUGUUUAUGUCCACUCAAGUAAAACACCACACAUCAAUAUACCACAUCGUUUCUCAAAAUAAAAUAAAGACUAUGGAAAAUUUAGCCAAAUUGCGUGAGUGAACUGUCCAAACAUAGGUUAAGGUUGUAAGACAACUUUUUUCCACCAUACAGUUGCUAAAAAGUUGGAAUAUAACCUAUGUUUGGAUAGUUCUCUCGUGCAAUUUGGCUAAAUUUCCCAUGGUCUUUAUUUUAUUUUGAGAAACGAUGUGGUAUAAUGAUGUGCGAUGUUUUACUUGAGUGGACAUAAACACCAUUUAGGUAUGCCUUGAAUAGACGUCUUCAUCCACUAGUUAUACUCUAAUACCCUCUAGUGUGAAUACAAUGCCCACAAUAUCAUAGAAACGUCAUUUGAGGUUUAAAAGGUGAUCUAUUGUUUUGAAUUCUUUAUAUUCCAACUUUUUAGCAACUGUAUGGUGGAAAAAAGUUGUCUUACAACCUUAACCUAUGUUUGGACAGUUCACUCACGCAAUUUGGCUAAAUAUUCCAUAGUAUUUAUUUUAUUUUGUUAUAUUCCAACUUUUUAGCAACUGUAUGGUGGAAAAAAGUUGUCUUACAACCUUAACCUAUGUUUGGACAGUUCACUCUUCGCAAUUUGGCUAAAUUUUCCAUAGUCUUUAUUUUAUUUUGAGAAACGAUGUGGUAUAUUGAUGUGUGGUGUUUUACUUGAGUGGACAUAAACACAAUCUAAGGAUGCCAUGGGCAUUGUAUUCACACUAGAGGGUAUUAGAGUAUAACUAGUGGAUAAAGACGUUAUUGGGCUAGCUAAUGACCUUUUGUAAGACAACUUUUUUCCACCAUACAGUUGUAAUACCCUCUAGUGUGAAUACAAUGCACACAAUAUCAUAGAAACGUCAUUUGAGGUUUAAAAGGUGAUCUAUUGUUUUGAAUUCUUUAUAUUCCAACUUUUUAGCAACUGUAUGGUGGAAACCAGGUAUCACAAAAGGUCAUUAGCUAGCCCAAUAACGUCUUCAUCCACUAGUUGUACUCUAAUACCCUCUAGUGUGAAUACAAUGCCCUCAAUAUCAUAGAAACGUCAUUUGAGGUUUAAAAGGUGAUCUAUUGUUUUGAAUUCUUUAUAUUCCAACUUUUUAGCAACUGUAUGGUGGAAAAAAGUUGUCUUACAACCUUAACCUAUGUUUGGACAGUUCACUCACGCAAUUUGGCUAAAUUUUCCAUAGUCUUUAUUUUAUUUUGAGAAAUGAUGUGGUAUAUUGAUGCCAUGAAUAGACGAGAUUAUUGGAAACCAGGUAUCACAAAAGGUCAUUAGCUAGCCCACUAAUGUCUUCAUCCACUAGUUGUACUCUAAUACCCUCUAGUGUGAAUACAAUGCCCACAAUAUCAUAGAAACGUCAUUUGAGGUUUAAAAGGUGAUCUAUUGUUUUGAA
Molecule: long non-coding RNA, 5026 nt
Filed under: Zea mays
Lineage: Eukaryota; Viridiplantae; Streptophyta; Magnoliopsida; Poales; Poaceae
Description: long non-coding RNA (ZMAY_LNC002786)
Source: RNAcentral